UUCCUACGGGAGGCAGCAGUGGGGAAUAUUGCACAAUGGGCGCAAGCCUGAUGCAGCGACGCCGCGUGAGGGAUGACGGCCUUCGGGUUGUAAACCUCUUUCAGUAGGGAAGAAGCGAAAGUGACGGUACCUGCAGAAGAAGCGCCGGCUAACUACGUGCCAGCAGCCGCGGUAAUACGUAGGGCGCAAGCGUUAUCCGGAAUUAUUGGGCGUAAAGAGCUCGUAGGCGGUUUGUCGCGUCUGCCGUGAAAGUCCGGGGCUCAACUCCGGAUCUGCGGUGGGUACGGGCAGACUAGAGUGAUGUAGGGGAGACUGGAAUUCCUGGUGUAGCGGUGAAAUGCGCAGAUAUCAGGAGGAAC
This 359-nucleotide ribosomal RNA is filed under the name uncultured Arthrobacter sp. Its description in RNAcentral is "bacterial SSU rRNA". It matches the Rfam family "Bacterial small subunit ribosomal RNA", at positions 336 to 707 of the family's 1533-position model. The record is from RNAcentral. Lineage: Bacteria; Bacillati; Actinomycetota; Actinomycetes; Micrococcales; Micrococcaceae.